GACGAACGCUGGCGGCGUGCUUAACACAUGCAAGUCGUACGGUAAGGCCCUUUCGGGGGUACACGAGUGGCGAACGGAUGAGUAACACGUGAGUAACCUGCCCACAACUUUGGGAUAACGCUAGGAAACUGGUGCUAAUACUGGAUAUGUGCUCCUGCUGCAUGGUGGGGGUUGGAAAGCUCCGGCGGUUGUGGAUGGACUCGCGGCCUAUCAGCUUGUUGGUGGGGUAGUGGCCUACCAAGGCGGCGACGGGUAGCCGGCCUGAGAGGGUGACCGGCCACAUUGGGACUGAGAUACGGCCCAGACUCCUACGGGAGGCAGCAGUGGGGAAUAUUGCACAAUGGGCGCAAGCCUGAUGCAGCAACGCCGCGUGCGGGAUGACGGCCUUCGGGUUGUAAACCGCUUUCAGCAGGGACGAAGCUUUUUGUGACGGUACCUGCAGAAGAAGCACCGGCUAACUACGU
This 464-nucleotide ribosomal RNA is filed under the name uncultured bacterium. RNAcentral's name for it is "partial 16S ribosomal RNA". It matches the Rfam family "Bacterial small subunit ribosomal RNA", at positions 28 to 506 of the family's 1533-position model. The record is from RNAcentral.